Molecule: small nucleolar RNA, 94 nt
Organism: Juglans regia (Persian walnut)
Lineage: Eukaryota; Viridiplantae; Streptophyta; Magnoliopsida; Fagales; Juglandaceae
Product: small nucleolar RNA snoR128
Exons: 1
Source: RefSeq, a predicted model, not a curated record
UUGCUAUGAUGAUGCUUUAAAUGGUUGACAGUGUUCAUUGAACAUUGGAUGAAACAUCGACAGCCAUGUCGAUCCUGAGCGGUUACCUGAGCAA